RNAcentral lists this transfer RNA (73 nucleotides) under Trichonephila inaurata madagascariensis. It matches the Rfam family "tRNA". From Rfam's summary of the family: Transfer RNA (tRNA) molecules are approximately 80 nucleotides in length. Lineage: Eukaryota; Metazoa; Arthropoda; Arachnida; Araneae; Nephilidae. The record is from Rfam by way of RNAcentral.
GUCCCUGUAGCGCAAGAGAUAGCGCUUUGGACUUCUAAUUCAAAAGUCGUGGGUUCGAUUCCCAUCUGAGAUG